GCUUGGGUGGCUCAGUUGGUUAGAGCGUAGGUCUCAUAUUUACACAUGAACUCCCCCCGGGAGCAUAAUCCUAAGGUCGCGAGUUCGAACCUCGUCCCGAGCA
Molecule: non-coding RNA, 103 nt
Organism: Rhodofomes roseus
Lineage: Eukaryota; Fungi; Basidiomycota; Agaricomycetes; Polyporales; Fomitopsidaceae
Source: the annotation of a RefSeq genome assembly